RNAcentral lists this ribosomal RNA (3141 nucleotides) under Triticum aestivum (bread wheat). RNAcentral describes it as "partial small subunit ribosomal RNA". Lineage: Eukaryota; Viridiplantae; Streptophyta; Magnoliopsida; Poales; Poaceae. The record is from RNAcentral.
AUGAAAAUAAUAGCUUGGAACUGCCGGGGACUGGGGAAUGGCCCGGCAGUCCGGGGGCUUCUGGACCUCCAGAAGCAGGAGGACCCCGACAUCCUCUUCUUGUCUGAAACCAAAAUGGAUGAGAGGAGAAUGGAGAAAUUCAAGUGGAUGCUGGGAAUGAGCAAUAUGGUGGUAAGAGAUUGCGAAGGAAAAAGUGGAGGACUAGCUUUGUUUUGGAAGAAAGAAAUAAGGUUGGAGUUGCACAACUACUCGAGAUAUCAUAUUGAUGCAGAAGUGAUAGAAAAAGAUGGUUUCAAAUGGCGCUUCACAGGUAUUUAUGGGGAACCAUCUACUGAUAGAAGGAAAGUAACUUGGAGGCUCCUGCGCAUUCUUAAGCAACAAUUGAACCUUCCAUGGUUAUGUGCAGGCGAUUUCAAUGAAAUAUUAUUUAACCAUGAGAAGAAGGGAGGGCCAGCUAGAGCGCAAAGUCAAAUGGAGGGAUUCCGAAUGGCUCUUGAUGAUUGUGGCCUUAAGGAUUUAGGCUAUGUAGGAGAUAAGUACACCUGGCGCAAUCAGAGUUGGGAGGCUAGCCGAUACAUAAAGGAAAGGCUAGACAGAAUGGUAGGUUCGAGAAGUUGGUGUACAAGGUUCCCACACUUUAAAGUGGUGAACGGCGACCCGCGCCAUUCAGAUCACAGGCCUGUGAUUAUCCACAUAGAUGGAUCCGUUGGGGCCCAAAGGUUCAGGAAAAGAGCACAUAAUUUCAGAUUCGAAGCAAGAUGGCUACAAGAGGAAGAUUGUGAGGUCAUUGUAAAGAAUGCCUGGGCCACAGCAAGGAUGAGAGGGGACACUACUACUCAAGGUAUGCUAAGCAAGGUUGCAGGCGACUUAAAAAACUGGGACGUCAACAUGUUGGGAGAUCUUCAGAAAAGAAUAAAAAAUUUAAAAAAAGACUUGGAAGAAGUGAGAAGGGGCGACAUCAGCCAAGACCAAGUUUCAAGAGAACAUUUUCUUCAAGAGAAACUGGACCGACUUGAACACCAGCAGGAUACUCACUGGAGACAACGAGCCCACGUAAAGUGGCUACAGUCUGGGGACAAAAAUACAUCAUUUUUCCAUGCCUUUGCCUCUGAAAGGAAAAGGAGAAACACAAUUAAAAAGUUACAGAGGGAUGAUGGAAGCUGGGCAGAAGGGGAAGAUGCACUGAAGGAACAUAUUGCAAACUACUUUUUGAACAUUUUCUCCACCACGGUGACAGGGAGCAACAUCGAGGAAGUUAUGCAUGUUGUACAACCGAGGGUGACUGAGAGCAUGAACAAUGUUUUGUGUGCUGAGUACACUGAAGAAGAGGUUAAAGCAGCACUAAAUGGUAUGGGUGACCUCAAAGCCCCGGGUCCCGAUGGAAUGCCUGCUAUUUUUUUCAAAAAGUUUUGGCAAAUUGUCGGAGAACAAGUGGUCAAGGAAGUGCUUCAUAUUCUGAGGGGAGGAAACAUGCCAGAGGGCUGGAAUGAUACACUUAUUGUGCUAAUCCCGAAAAAUAACAAUCCAUUGAAGAUUAAUGAUAUGAGACCAAUAAGCCUAUGUAAUGUGGUAUACAAGCUGGUCUCCAAGGUAAUAACGAAUAGGCUCAAAAUAAUUCUUCCUGAUAUAAUCUCGCCUAACCAGAGUGCCUUCGUGCCUGGUCGCCUCAUUUCUGAUAAUACUCUGCUGGCAUAUGAACUAACACACUUCUUGCAGAGGAAAAAAAAUGGCUCAGUAGGUUAUGCAGCAAUAAAACUAGACAUGAGCAAGGCAUACGACCGUGUCGAAUGGACCUUCUUAAAGGAGAUGAUGCAUAGACUGGGUUUCGAUGAAGGGUGGAUGAAUUUGAUAAUGAAGUGCAUCUCCACUGUCAAAUACAAGAUUAAAGUGAAUGGGGAUGUAACCGAAACAAUCACACCCCAAAGGGGACUUCGUCAAGGGGAUCCACUUUCCCCAUAUCUGUUUCUACUUUGUGCGGAAGGGUUCUCAGCCAUGCUGCACAAUGCUGAAAGGAGAGGGUUAAUUAGAGGAAUUAAAAUAUGCAGAGGAGCUCCUAGUGUUAGUCACCUACUUUUUGCAGAUGAUUCUCUGCUGCUAAUGGAGGCUAGUGCAAGCAGUGCUCAAGAAGUUGAACGCAUUUUGAACAUAUAUGGAAGCUGCUCAGGGCAAAUGAUAAACAAGGACAAGUCAUCCAUUUUAUUCAGUAAAAAUACGAGGCCUUGGCAAAAGGAAGAAAUGAAGAGGACAUUGAACAUUAUAACUGAGGGCCUUGCAUCAAAAUAUUUAGGUCUUCCAACAUAUGUUGGCAAAGCAAAAGCGAAGAUGUUUGAAUAUGUAAAGGAAAGAAUAUGGAAAAGGAUUCAAGGUUGGAAGGAGAAACUACUUUCGAAGGCAGGGAAAGAAAUUCUAAUAAAAGCCGUGGCACAAGCUAUUCCUGUCUACAGCAUGGCGUGCUUUGAUCUCACCAAGGGCCUAUGUGAAGAACUGAGCACCAUGAUUAAUAGGUAUUGGUGGAGCCAAAUGGAUAAGGAAAAUAAAGUGCAUUGGGUCAGCUGGGAGAGGCUUACUAGAUCAAAAAGAAAUGGAGGCUUGGGAUUUAGGGAUCUACAUGCGUUCAAUCUGGCAAUGCUGGCAAGACAAGCAUGGAGGCUGCUCCAAAACCCCUCCUCUCUUUGUGCCCAGGUUCUUUCAAGUAGAUACUACCCAGGAUGUUCAAUUCUGCGGGCGAGACCAAGUAGUGGCAUUUCUUAUGCAUGGCGCAGCAUACUAAAGGGUGUUGAGCUGCUGAGAAAAGGAAUCAUAUGGAGAGUUGGGAAUGGCAAGGAUAUUGACAUAUGGAGUGACCCAUGGAUUCCGAGAGGUAACACCAGAAGGGUCGUCUCCCAUAGGGGCAAUAAUUUGAUAACUAAAGUCAGUGAGCUAAUUAACCCAAUCACCAACAAAUGGGACGAAGAACUAGUGAGGCAAACUUUUACCCCGGAAGAUACAAAGUAUAUCCUUCAGAUCCCAAUCCAAGAUCAUCUCGAGGACUUCACGGCAUGGCACUAUGAUAAAAAGCUGAAGAAGAUGGUGGAUUUGACUGGCUUAAACUAUGGACAAUGCCCCUCCCAAACAAAGUGCUCCAUUUUUUAUGGAGGCUAG